CGAGUGAAGCGGUAACAGCUCAAAUUUGAAAUCUGGCCUCACGGUCCGAGUUGUAAUUUGUAGAGGAUGCUUCGAGCAUGGUCUGGCCUAAGUUCCUUGGAACAGGACGUCAUAGAGGGUGAGAAUCCCGUAUGCGGCCAGGUGCCUACGCUCAUGUGAAGCUCCUUCGACGAGUCGAGUUGUUUGGGAAUGCAGCUCAAAAUGGGUGGUAAAUUUCAUCUAAAGCUAAAUAUUGGCCAGAGACCGAUAGCGCACAAGUAGAGUGAUCGAAAGAUGAAAAGCACUUUGGAAAGAGAGUUAAACAGUACGUGAAAUUGUUGAAAGGGAAGCGCUUGCAACCAGACUUGCGCGCGGCCGAUCAUCCGGUGUUCUCACCGGUGCACUCGGCCGUGCUCAGGCCAGCAUCGGUUUUGGCGGCUGGAUAAAGGCCCUAGGAAUGUAGCUCCUCUCGGGGAGUGUUAUAGCCUAGGGUGCAAUGCAGCCUGCUGGGACCGAGGACCGCGCUUCGGCUAGGAUGCUGGCGUAAUGGUUGUAAGCGGCCCGUCUUGAAACACGGACCAAGGAGUCUAACAUCUAUGCGAGUGUUUGGGUGUCAAACCCAUACGCGUAAUGAAAGUGAACGGAGGUGAGAACCCUUAAGGGUGCAUCAUCGACCGGUCCUGAAGUUUACGGAAGGAUCUGAGUAAGAGCAUAGCUGUUGGGACCCGAAAGAUGGUGAACUAUGCCUGAAUAGGGUGAAGCCAGAGGAAACUCUGGUGGAGGCUCGCAGCGGUUCUGACGUGCAAAUCGAUCGUCAAAUUUGGGUAUAGGGGCG
RNAcentral lists this ribosomal RNA (814 nucleotides) under Onygenales sp. 795_3_CZ01. RNAcentral describes it as "eukaryotic LSU rRNA". It matches the Rfam family "Eukaryotic large subunit ribosomal RNA", at positions 90 to 925 of the family's 3401-position model. The record is from RNAcentral. Lineage: Eukaryota; Fungi; Ascomycota; Eurotiomycetes; Onygenales.